AACCUGCCGGCUCCCAUCCCACAACGUAGAGCUACUUCCGGUGGGGCUCCGUCACUCAAAUGGAGAAGAACCAGCACCAACAUGGGAGGCUUCCCAUGUUACAUAAGGAUCAACAGGAGAAGCCGGGCAGCAGAGGCUCGUGUGAUAAGAGAGGCAGGAAGCAAGAGCUUCCAUGGGAAUGGCGUGGUUUCAUCUCCUGGAUGCAGUCAUGGCAGCUAAGACAGAAUCAUCAUUCUCAGUUGAAUAGCAUCAAAAGACCAGACCAAACACCUUUCCAGUCUAAUCUUUCUGCACAGUGGCCAACUAUAAGUUGAUGUCAGUGAGAAGGUUGAACAAAGCAACAACCUCUCAGGUUCCUGAAGUAAUGGAGUCUACAGGCAUAUUGCCUCCGGUGAAAAUAAUAUGUAUCCAUCUGGACAAGAUGCCGUGCAUUACUUUAUUUCUCAUGAAGCUUGCUAAAAUGACCUUGUGCUAAUCAAAGUCUUUUAACUUGCAUUGACAAUGCAUGAUACCAUGUGUAUUCUACUACUGGUCUCCCCCCCCCCCCCAAAAUAAAUAAAUAAAUAAAUAAAUAAAUAAAUAAAUAGCAAAUCUGUGCAAUUCUGCUACUGAACCACGGUGUGAUAGUGAAGGUGUUCAACUGGGCAUGUAUGCAUUCUCAACUGUAGUGGAAUAGUAGGUUGGUGUGAUAAAGUCCUUUAUCCACCCCACAAAUUUGUAGCUUUGAAAAAAUAGGAAGGAAAA
Molecule: long non-coding RNA, 744 nt
Filed under: Anolis carolinensis (green anole)
Lineage: Eukaryota; Metazoa; Chordata; Lepidosauria; Squamata; Anolidae
Description: lncRNA (ENSACAG00000032952.2)
Source: RNAcentral